Molecule: long non-coding RNA, 425 nt
Filed under: Triticum aestivum (bread wheat)
Lineage: Eukaryota; Viridiplantae; Streptophyta; Magnoliopsida; Poales; Poaceae
Description: long non-coding RNA (TAES_LNC011357)
Source: RNAcentral
UUUUUCUGAAAAUUGCAUUUAUUGUGUGACCUAUGUAUUGUCAUUAUUCUUGCUUCAUUGGUCGUGUUGAUAUUCUGGGUUUGGCCCGACAUUGUGUUUUCUUUUGCCUCAUGCCAUUCAUAUUUUGUGGUUGCGUGUGGACAUGAUUUGCGCACUUAUUUCAAUUGUUAGCCGUGUAUCAUGGUGUGCUUUGCCUGCUUUUUCAUGCUUGUGUGAAUUGACCAUGGUCUGUUCUUGUUGGGGUAAAGCCUGAACUGCCGGGUACACUUUGCUUAUUGUCCUUAUUCUGGUUGUCCUUGGCAUCUUUCUAUCAGUGGAGAUCCUUGUUUUCAAAUAGUAGGGAUAGAGGGACAGAAAAGACAUAUUUGUCGCGGCGCUGCAAGUGUUGCCCCCCUCCUCCCCAAGGGCAAGUUGAAGGAAGGUGU